UGGGGAAUAUUGCACAAUGGGCGCAAGCCUGAUGCAGCCAUGCCGCGUGUGUGAAGAAGGCCUUCGGGUUGUAAAGCACUUUCAGCGGGGAGGAAGGCGUUAAGGUUAAUAACCUUGGCGAUUGACGUUACCCGCAGAAGUAGCACCGGCUAACUCCGUGCCAGCAGCCGCGGUAAUACGGAGGGUGCAAGCGUUAAUCGGAAUUACUGGGCGUAAAGCGCACGCAGGCGGUCUGUCAAGUCGGAUGUGAAAUCCCCGGGCUCAACCUGGGAACUGCAUUCGAAACUGGCAGGCUAGAGUCUUGUAGAGGGGGGUAGAAUUCCAGGUGUAGCGGUGAAAUGCGUAGAGAUCUGGAGGAAUACCGGUGGCGAAGGCGGCCCCCUGGACGAAGACUGACGCUCAGGUGCGAAAGCGUGGGGAGCAAACAGG
Molecule: ribosomal RNA, 429 nt
Filed under: Chloroflexota bacterium
Lineage: Bacteria; Bacillati; Chloroflexota
Description: Chloroflexi bacterium partial 16S ribosomal RNA
Rfam family: Bacterial small subunit ribosomal RNA
Source: RNAcentral